UUUUCCAUUACAUAAGCAUGGUUUUACAUAGGCCAUAUUAAAUGCAUGUCAUGUUACAAUACUUUGUUUGAUCUCAAAGGGAAGAAAGAACUUGAUAGCCCAUGUCACCUAUGUUUCAUGCUCACACUUGGUCAAGAUACUUCAAGCAACACUUGGAAUAGCAUCUUGCUUCAAGGCCAUGGCUCUUUGACUCAUGUUUCAAUAUAAUCAUGGAAAACAACUAGCCAUAACAGGCCUACAACAAUACAACAGAAGCCUUACAUCAGUCCUACAAAUGUAUCAAUCCAAAUCAUCAUCAAACCAUACAUGAACCUUCCCCAAACCAUGAUGCAAACCAAGAUCAUGGCAUGAAUUUACAGCAAACAAUUUACCUGCAAGAAGACCAACCAAGCAACCAAUCCAACCUGCCAUCAUCAUCAACAUCAAUAAACAACAUUACUCUUCCAUAGCAGCAAUGCAACCAACCCUGUUAUGCCAUGCUGCAAAACCCGCAAUCCUCAACCAAGCAACAGUUCAAGCCAAACAACAUUAAUUCCUCCAAAACAACCUUGCAUCAUUAUGCAUCAAAACUUGCUCCAUUCAAAACCCUGUCAUUCAUCAUCAGCUUCUAUACCGAGC
This 618-nucleotide long non-coding RNA is filed under the name Lathyrus oleraceus (garden pea). RNAcentral describes it as "Pisum sativum (pea) long non-coding RNA (PSAT_LNC029920)". The record is from RNAcentral. Lineage: Eukaryota; Viridiplantae; Streptophyta; Magnoliopsida; Fabales; Fabaceae.